This 71-nucleotide transfer RNA is filed under the name Candidatus Gottesmanbacteria bacterium. Its description in RNAcentral is "tRNA-Ala". It matches the Rfam family "tRNA". Rfam says of the family: Transfer RNA (tRNA) molecules are approximately 80 nucleotides in length. Their secondary structure includes four short double-helical elements and three loops (D, anti-codon, and T loops). The record is from RNAcentral. Lineage: Bacteria; Candidatus Gottesmaniibacteriota.
GGGCCUGUGGUAUACCGGUAACACAUCUCCAUGGCAUGGAGAAGUAGGGGGUUCGAUUCCCCCCAGGUCCA